Molecule: non-coding RNA, 69 nt
Organism: Ictidomys tridecemlineatus (thirteen-lined ground squirrel)
Lineage: Eukaryota; Metazoa; Chordata; Mammalia; Rodentia; Sciuridae
Source: Rfam
GGGGUUGUGGCUUAGCGGUAGAGCACUCAACUCAUACAUGUGAGAUCCUGGGUUCCAUCCUCAGCACCA